GUGUUCUUUGUGUCAGUGAGAGAAAAAUGCAUCACUAGCACACGUGUGUGGCAGAAGAGAGCACAAGAGCAUAAGAGAAACGAAGCUUGCACUCUUUGAGAUUCAUAUCAGUCAUUCAUCUGGUCAGAUUACAAAAAGAAAUCAUCUCACAUAGCUGAUGCAUCAUCACUUCCACUAUGUCAGGGAAGUUGCAUAGCAGUCAGAGAUAGAGUCAUUACAGUCAUAUGAUUGAUGUGUGAAAUGGCGUGCAAGGCAUGAGGUACGAUGGUGUUGAUGCUUUUACAUUGUCCUGAUAAUGAUGCUCUUCCACGAGGUUGUGAAUGAGAAUAAUUUUGCAUGUGGGGCAGCUGCUGAACUCACAGCAGCAAUAAAUGUAGCAGGCAACUUCCACCAUUCAUACAAAUGAUAUAUCAAAUUAAACCCUGCAUAAGAAACACAAGCAUAUGGGCACUAUCUGAAUGUCAAAAUCUGUCCAGGAUUUGAAAGUUACACCUUCUACCGAGUUCAGUGACUUCCAGAUGAUGUGAAUUACACAGUGUUUGAUCCUUAAAUAGUAUUCCUGAGAUGACAUAAAAAUGUGAUUCCAAAUUUCAUAGAUAAUGUUGAUGUUUAGCUGAUGUUUUAACUUUAUCCAAUAAAUGAUAUAAAAGAUUAGCUGCUGUGAUAUCACCCAUUGGUUUCUGAGCUUUGAAACCUUGAGAUGAGUGUUCCUGCCAUCACCAUUUUGGUUGCACGAACCUGAUUGUGAGGAUAGAUAAGGGGCGGGUCUUGGUGUAAACACACUCACUGGCUAAAGACCUAUGAAUGACAUCUCACUUGUCAGAAAGCGUGUGGUUUUGUGGCAGAGAUCAUUUUUCAUUUUGAAACAUGGUUGGAACAAAGUUUACAAAAUAGAAUUAAUUCAGUACGACUUAGAAUGAGUUCCUGAACCAUUAAACCCAACAGGAAGCUGUUUACAGAAGUGAGGUCAGAAAGCCAUUUUCCCAUAGACCUCUACAGGAUAGAAAGUCUUUUAUGACUUAAGCUUUCGUCAUCUGGGGGCUUUCAGUCAAAAUGCAGGUUUAAGGCAUCUUAACAUUGGCUUAAUUUUUCCGACCUGGAGGCUGUGUGCAUGUUUUAUACUGUCUAGGGUUUAUUCAAGACAUUCCAUCAACUUUUUCGAGUGUGUGCAUCUUUUCUUUCACUGAUUAAAUGUUCCAUGGUCAAUUAUUUAGAUCACAGUGUAAUUCUUCCCAGUUUAGAAUUAUUUUUUGAUGUCCAACUAUUGAACAUACAAUAGUAUUGUAAUUAAAUAAGUAUAUCUGAUGGUUAAAUACAAAGUACCAUCAAGCAACUCAUUUUUAGAACAAUUUCCCUCAGGAUAAAUAAAGUAUUAUUAAUCAAUCAAUCAAUCAAUCAAUCAAUCAAUCAAUCAAUCAAUUUUUCACUUUUUGCAGCCCGGCAGUUCUUGCAGCUGAUACCAUGGAGACAGUUAAGUCACCACAUGGUCCUGCUUGCACACUCUACUCAUCCUUUUUCCUUCUCUUCCCUAUUUUGUCUUCAUGCACACAAAUGUCAGUAAAGUUGCACUAUUUCAGCAUCUUGCUCAGCUGGAGAGAAAAAAGCUUUAAACAAGUGACAUUUUUAUUAGUUGCAGUUUAUAAGCUAUUCAAAAUGUAGCAGUUGAUAAUCUGGAAAUUUGAAGCUUAUUUGUUAUAUGCCAAUGAAUUUUAAUGUAUUCCAUUUUAAACAGAGGAUCUGUUCAUUAUGUUUUGUUGUUAUCUGGUUAUCUAUCAUAUUGUAAAAGAUCAUUUCAUGGUAUUCUAUGGUUACACCAGACAGUAAAUGCAGACAAAACCUCUGUUUUAUAUUAUUGCACAUUGAAGUUUACAGAUGAACUAUGUUGCAAUGGUGCAGGGUAGACUCUGAUAUCCAUGAUUGCUGUUAAGUUGGGUCCAGAGUAGCAACAGAGAUAUUAUGGCACUCAAAGACAUCUAAAUGAAAAUACAGUGGAGAACAGCAAAAAUGGUGGUAGAAGCUUUUAAAACUGCUUAUUUGUGUACAAAGUCAGCAAACUUAAAAAAACUUUUUUUUUUUAGCAGAUUUGAUUGGAUGUUCAACACAGUAGAUGCAAUUUUGGUUUGGUCACUGAAAAUAAAAGCUAAUUUAUAUAACUUUUCAUAAUAAGUGCCCAGAUGUGUUUCAGUAUGCUGCUGGCUUUAAUAACACUUAGCUAUUUUUUGCUGGCUAAGAUGUAGAAAUCAGCCAUAAUACAGUAGCUUAUAUAACAUCUGCUUAUAUUCUGUAGAGUAUAGUUGCCUAAAUCCACAGUCAUUACACUUUAGAACCAACAGCAGCAGGUCAUCUAAUCACACUUUAUCCACAAAAAAAUCUGCAGUCAUGGUAAAGUAAACCCUCUCUCUAAAACUUUAUGUAUCCGGGCCUAAUAGAAGAAAUCAUCCAGUUUUUAUUAGCUUCUAAAAAUAUUUAAAUAGCGCUCAUAUAAAGAAUAAAUCGUGACAUAUUAUAUGGCAUCAUUUAUUUUGUAAAGACUAAGCCAAAAUGCAGAAGUGGUGCAUUAAAAAUAAAGUACACCCCACGAUUCAAUAGCUUGUAGAAUCACAUUUAGAUGUAUGAAUUUAGCUGUUGCUUACAUCAUUAUGUUAUGUUAUUCAUUAUGUUAUGUUUUGAAUUUCCCUCGGGAUAAAUAAAGUUCUUCUUAUUUUAUCUUAUCUUAUCUUAUUAUUUUUGCCCACUGUUCUUUAAAAUGCAGCUUGAAUUCUUUGAGCUUUAUUGGCAUUCACCUGCACAACUUCUUUUCUAUCUUUAGCUGUUGGAGAGCUGGCCUCACAUAUGACUCUAGAAUACUGCAAAACAAGCCCCAAUCAUUACCCUUCCACCACCAUGCUUGCCAGUUAUAAUGAGUAGUCUGUGCUGACAUGCUGUGCUUGUGGGCCUGUGUACACAUUAUGCCCAAAGAUUUCCACUGUUGUUUUGUCUGCCCAAAGGACAGUGUUCCAGAUAUUUUGUGGUUUGUUCAGACACGACUUCCAAACCUAAGCCAUGCUGCCAUGUGUCUUUUUUUGUUUUUGUUUCGAGAGAAGACGCUGGGAAAUUGUUGGAAUCAUGCCAUGCUUGUUCACUCUUGUAAUUGCACUAUGAGGAACUUUAACAUUCGGCAUGGUAACUACAGAGCCAACUUUUGAACAACUUUGAACAACUUUUAUUUUCUACUUGUGAAUAAUCUUAUACACUGUGGAGUGAUGAACUUCAUAUUGUUUGAAAAUUACCUUAUAACCUUCUGGAGAUUAAUGGGCACCAACAGUUGCUUCUCUAAGAUCUCUGCUGAAGGCUUUCUUCCUUUGCAUUAAAACACACCUGAAUGCUCCAGACCAGAAAUCUGCUAAAAUGUCAGCUUUUUUAAAGGUGGUCAUACUUGCCAAUGUUCAAUCAAUCAGUCAAGCUCAUUUGGCUAUCAGCACCUUCUUGCUACGUUCCCUCUUUAUGUCAGGGUCCUGGGUCUGAGCGACCCAGGGACCCUGAGUAGUUAUGGACUAAUAUUAUAAUGUAUGUAUUUUGUAUUGCUGUCCCUCGUUCUCCCUGCUUGUAGAUAUGUGUACGUAGGUAUGUGUGUGGGUGUGGCCCUGGCAGGUGAUUGGCCACACCUGAAGACCUUGACACACCUGCAGCUGAUCAGGCCUCGUCGGAGGAGCUACUUGAGAGUGUGGCGGAGCUCUCUCCGACGCUGGAUCAUUGCGUGGCUUCACGAGUAGCGAGAGACGAGAGGGCAGCGAGCACGGGGUGCUCAUCACGGAGAAGCGGAGACAGAAGCACUAACACUGGGAAGAGGACACGUCACGGGAGUCGGGAGAGCACGGGAUUUAUUGUCAUGUUUUUCCAUCAAUGUAAAUAAACGCACUGCUUGUACUA
Molecule: long non-coding RNA, 3909 nt
Organism: Oreochromis niloticus (Nile tilapia)
Lineage: Eukaryota; Metazoa; Chordata; Actinopteri; Cichliformes; Cichlidae
Exons: 2
Source: RefSeq, a predicted model, not a curated record